CCAAUAGCGUAUAUUAAAGUUGUUGCAGUUAAAAAGCUCGUAGUUGAACUUCGGGGUUUACCCAUUGGUCAGGCUUAAUUGUCUGUACUGGUGAGAUAAAUCUCUACCUUCUGAGGAACUUUCAUGUCAUUAAUUUGGUGUGAUUGGAAAUCAGGACUGUUACUUUGAAAAAAUUAGAGUGUUUAAAGCAGGCUAACGUCUGAAUACAUUAGCAUGGAAUAAUGAAAUAGGACGGACUGAUUCUAUUUCGUUGGUUUCUAGGAUCACCGUAAUGAUUAAUAGGGAUAGUUGGGGGCAUUAGUAUUCAAUUGUCAGAGGUGAAAUUCUUGGAUUUAUUGAAGACUAACUACUGCGAAAGCAUUUGCCAAGGAUGUUUUCAUUAAUCAAGAACGAAAGUUAGGGGGUCGAAGACGAUCAGAUACCGUCGUAGUCUUAACCAUAAACUAUGCCGACUAGGGAUCGGACGAAGUUAAUUUUAUAAUGACGCGUUCGGCACCUUACG
This 502-nucleotide ribosomal RNA is filed under the name uncultured Glomeromycotina. RNAcentral describes it as "partial small subunit ribosomal RNA". It matches the Rfam family "Eukaryotic small subunit ribosomal RNA", at positions 591 to 1092 of the family's 1831-position model. The record is from RNAcentral. Lineage: Eukaryota; Fungi; Glomeromycota.